RNAcentral lists this ribosomal RNA (472 nucleotides) under uncultured bacterium. RNAcentral's name for it is "bacterial SSU rRNA". It matches the Rfam family "Bacterial small subunit ribosomal RNA", at positions 28 to 500 of the family's 1533-position model. The record is from RNAcentral.
GAUGAACGCUGGCGGCGUGCUUAACACAUGCAAGUCGAACGGGGAUUAUUUCAUUGAAGCUUCGGCAGAUUUGGCUUAAUCCUAGUGGCGGACGGGUGAGUAACGCGUGGGUAACCUGCCUUAUACAGGGGGAUAACAGUCAGAAAUGGCUGCUAAUACCGCAUAAGCGCACAGGGCCGCAUGGCCCGGUGUGAAAAACUGAGGUGGUAUAAGAUGGACCCGCGUUGGAUUAGCCAGUUGGCAGGGUAACGGCCUACCAAAGCGACGAUCCAUAGCCGGCCUGAGAGGGUGAACGGCCACAUUGGGACUGAGACACGGCCCAAACUCCUACGGGAGGCAGCAGUGGGGAAUAUUGCACAAUGGGGGAAACCCUGAUGCAGCGACGCCGCGUGAGCGAAGAAGUAUUUCGGUAUGUAAAGCUCUAUCAGCAGGGAAGAAGAAUGACGGUACCUGACUAAGAAGCACCGGCUAA